Molecule: ribosomal RNA, 350 nt
Filed under: uncultured Pelotomaculum sp.
Lineage: Bacteria; Bacillati; Bacillota; Clostridia; Eubacteriales; Desulfotomaculaceae
Description: bacterial SSU rRNA
Rfam family: Bacterial small subunit ribosomal RNA
Source: RNAcentral
ACAGGUGGUGCAUGGUUGUCGUCAGCUCGUGUCGUGAGAUGUUGGGUUAAGUCCCGCAACCGAGCGCAACCCCUACGUUUAGUUGCUAACAGGUGAAGCUGAGCACUCUAGACGAACUGCCGUUGACAAAACGGAGGAAGGUGGGGAUGACGUCAAAUCAUCAUGCCCCUUAUGUUCUGGGCUACACACGUGCUACAAUGGCCGGUACAGACGGAGGCGAAGCCGCGAGGCGGAGCAAAUCCGAAAAAGCCGGUCUCAGUUCGGAUUGCAGGCUGCAAUUCGCCUGCAUGAAGUCGGAAUCGCUAGUAAUCGCAGGUCAGCAUACUGCGGUGAAUACGUUCCCGGGCCUU